Molecule: ribosomal RNA, 569 nt
Filed under: uncultured bacterium
Lineage: Bacteria
Description: partial 16S ribosomal RNA
Rfam family: Bacterial small subunit ribosomal RNA
Source: RNAcentral
UGGGGAAUAUUGCACAAUGGGCGCAAGCCUGAUGCAGCAACGCCGCGUGAGGGAUGACGGCCUUCGGGUUGUAAACCUCUUUUAGCAGGGAAGAAGCGAAAGUGACGGUACCUGCAGAAAAAGCACCGGCUAACUACGUGCCAGCAGCCGCGGUAAUACGUAGGGUGCAAGCGUUGUCCGGAAUUAUUGGGCGUAAAGAGCUCGUAGGCGGUCUGUCGCGUCUGCUGUGAAAUCCCGAGGCUCAACCUCGGGCCUGCAGUGGGUACGGGCAGACUAGAGUGCGGUAGGGGAGAAUGGAACUCCUGGUGUAGCGGUGGAAUGCGCAGAUAUCAGGAAGAACACCGAUGGCGAAGGCAGUUCUCUGGGCCGUAACUGACGCUGAGGAGCGAAAGCGUGGGGAGCGAACAGGAUUAGAUACCCUGGUAGUCCACGCCGUAAACGUUGGGCGCUAGAUGUGGGGACCAUUCCACGGUUUCCGUGUCGCAGCUAACGCAUUAAGCGCCCCGCCUGGGGAGUACGGCCGCAAGGCUAAAACUUGAAAGGAAUUGACGGGGUCAUAGCUGUUUCCU